Molecule: ribosomal RNA, 729 nt
Filed under: uncultured bacterium
Lineage: Bacteria
Description: bacterial SSU rRNA
Rfam family: Bacterial small subunit ribosomal RNA
Source: RNAcentral
ACGCUGGCGGCGUGCUUAACACAUGCAAGUCGAACGGUGAAGAGGAGCUUGCUCCUUGGAUCAGUGGUGAACGGGUGAGUAACACGUGAGUAACCUGCCCCAAACUCUGGGAUAAGCACUGGAAACGGUGUCUAAUACCGGAUACGAGCUUCAGCCGCAUGGCUAGGAGUUGGAAAGAAUUUCGGUUUGGGAUGGACUCGCGGCCUAUCAGCUAGUUGGUGAGGUAAUGGCUCACCAAGGCGACGACGGGUAGCCGGCCUGAGAGGGUGACCGGCCACACUGGGACUGAGACACGGCCCAGACUCCUACGGGAGGCAGCAGUGGGGAAUAUUGCACAAUGGGCGCAAGCCUGAUGCAGCAACGCCGCGUGAGGGACGACGGCCUUCGGGUUGUAAACCUCUUUUAGUAGGGAAGAAGCGAAAGUGACGGUACCUGCAGAAAAAGCACCGGCUAACUACGUGCCAGCAGCCGCGGUAAUACGUAGGGUGCAAGCGUUGUCCGGAAUUAUUGGGCGUAAAGAGCUCGUAGGCGGUUUGUCGCGUCUGCUGUGAAAACCCGAGGCUCAACCUCGGGCCUGCAGUGGGUACGGGCAGACUAGAGUGCGGUAGGGGAGAUUGGAAUUCCUGGUGUAGCGGUGGAAUGCGCAGAUAUCAGGAGGAACACCAAUGGCGAAGGCAGAUCUCUGGGCCGUAACUGACGCUGAGGAGCGAAAGCAUGGGGAGCGAACAG